This 75-nucleotide transfer RNA is filed under the name Armillaria solidipes. RNAcentral describes it as "tRNA-Thr". The record is from RNAcentral. Lineage: Eukaryota; Fungi; Basidiomycota; Agaricomycetes; Agaricales; Physalacriaceae.
GGUUGUUUAGCUCAGAGGUUAGGCGCAUUCCCCUUGUACUCAUGGAAGGCAGCUGUUCGAAUCAGCUAGGAACAU